Molecule: ribosomal RNA, 294 nt
Filed under: uncultured Mesorhizobium sp.
Lineage: Bacteria; Pseudomonadati; Pseudomonadota; Alphaproteobacteria; Hyphomicrobiales; Phyllobacteriaceae
Description: partial 16S ribosomal RNA
Rfam family: Bacterial small subunit ribosomal RNA
Source: RNAcentral
AACGAACGCUGGCGGCAGGCUUAACACAUGCAAGUCGAGCGCCCCGCAAGGGGAGCGGCAGACGGGUGAGUAACGCGUGGGAAGCUACCCAUCUCUACGGAACAACUCCGGGAAACUGGAGCUAAUACCGUAUACGUCCUUCGGGAGAAAGAUUUAUCGGAGAUGGAUGAGCCCGCGUUGGAUUAGCUAGUUGGUGGGGUAAUGGCCUACCAAGGCGACGAUCCAUAGCUGGUCUGAGAGGAUGAUCAGCCACACUGGGACUGAGACACGGCCCAGACUCCUACGGGAGGCAGC